RNAcentral lists this ribosomal RNA (736 nucleotides) under Nocardioides sp. Its description in RNAcentral is "bacterial SSU rRNA". It matches the Rfam family "Bacterial small subunit ribosomal RNA", at positions 73 to 824 of the family's 1533-position model. The record is from RNAcentral. Lineage: Bacteria; Bacillati; Actinomycetota; Actinomycetes; Propionibacteriales; Nocardioidaceae.
GGCCACUUCGGUGGUACUCGAGCGGCGAACGGGUGAGUAACACGUGAGUAAUCUGCCCUUGGCUUCGGGAUAGCCACCGGAAACGGUGAUUAAUACCGGAUAUGACCGUCUGCCGCAUGGUGGGUGGUGGAAAGUUUUUUCGGCCAGGGAUGUGCUCGCGGCCUAUCAGCUUGAUGGUGAGGUAAUGGCUCACCAUGGCUUCGACGGGUAGCCGGCCUGAGAGGGUGACCGGUCACACUGGGACUGAGACACGGCCCAGACUCCUACGGGAGGCAGCAGUGGGGAAUAUUGGACAAUGGGCGGAAGCCUGAUCCAGCAACGCCGCGUGAGGGAUGACGGCCUUCGGGUUGUAAACCUCUUUCAGCAGGGACGAAGCGCAAGUGACGGUACCUGCAGAAGAAGCACCGGCCAACUACGUGCCAGCAGCCGCGGUAAUACGUAGGGUGCGAGCGUUGUCCGGAAUUAUUGGGCGUAAAGGGCUCGUAGGCGGUUUGUCGCGUCGGGAGUGAAAACCAGGUGCUUAACACCUGGCUUGCUUUCGAUACGGGCAGACUAGAGGUAUUCAGGGGAGAACGGAAUUCCUGGUGUAGCGGUGAAAUGCGCAGAUAUCAGGAGGAACACCGGUGGCGAAGGCGGUUCUCUGGGAAUGACCUGACGCUGAGGAGCGAAAGUGUGGGGAGCGAACAGGAUUAGAUACCCUGGUAGUCCACACCGUAAACGUUGGGCGCUAGGUGUG